ACGGGUAUUUUUAAGUUUUAGGAUUUUGGACCCCUGAGUAUUAUAGCAGACUUUUUAAAAAUAGAAAUUCGACUGCGAAAAAUUUCUUUUGAAUUAAUUGAUAUUGUAUUCAGGAAUGAGGCAAACAAAUUUAAAUUUUUUUACAGUAAUUUAAUUGCCCUUAAUAGCUUACAAAAAUCUCUAUUUUUUCAUGUGUGAACCGACUGCGACUCUUUAGCGAAUGAAAUAUGGUCACAUAAUCUCAGCAGGUACACUACGUACACGACAAUAUCAGCUGCACAGUUGGCUUCGGAAACGAGAUUCCGGGAGCGGCCAUGAAUGAAAAACCGUGUGUUGGAUGGUCAAGUCCAAGCCCAUUCGGCAUGUACACUCUAGUGUGCGUAGGUCCCGAUAUGCCAACAUUGCUCAAAGCACCAAAAUAUCGUAGUUUCUUGCAUUGGCACGUAGGAAACAUUCGAAACGAUAAUAAUACGGUUGGGGGUGAAACCAGAGUGGAAUACGUUGGUAUUGUCAAACCUAAUUAUGGACCUGGAAAACAUCGCAUAGUUUUCAUAUUGUACAGGCAAAAUCAAGAUGCGGAAUUGUAUUACGUAACGGACGUCAUGACAGAAGAUGGCGACAUGGAUGAACGAGAAUUUUUUGAACCGAGAGUGAUGACAAAAGAGAAUCACAUGGGUAAACCGAUUGGAGUCAAUUAUUUCUGGGUCACAACUGCCGACUAAGAGGAUGAUUCAAGCAUGACCAUGAUCUGGAUCAUAAGAGCGUACGCAGAGAGGAAGAAUAAGACAGCUCGAGUUCAGAUCAAAUUUCUUCGGCAGAAACAACCAAGGCUCAGCAAGAAUUGCCAGAUUGGAAGUGAGGUACGUGCCAUGCACAAAUCCAACGAACGCAAAUGCCCGGUUUUAUUACAACGACGGAUCACAAAGACUUCACUCACAUGGUCCAUCUGCAUCCCUUAAGGAUUUCCCUAGAAACCCCUCACUAGGGUCCUAUAGGGACUUCCUCGGAGUCCCCUCGUUGGAGUCCUUGCCGCCAUCGGAAUCAGCAUCGCCCUCACGAAUACCGUAUUCACGAAUGUCGUCUCGACCGUCGUCCUUCAGAUAUCAAGAUCAACCCCUAGAUUAAUCCCCUGGAUGACCCUUCAAAGAUUAAGUAGAAAGCCUGAAGAAACUCCUCAAUUUUUUUUUUUAAGUAUACUUUAUUGUUAGCUUCCAACAGGGAAAUAUAAACAAUUUGCUUAAAUUACGAGGUAAUUUUAUAACAAAGCAACGACAUGCUCAUCGCUUAUUAACAUAAGAUUAAGGAGAAAAAAUAAUAAUUUUCUACAUAGUAGAACAAUUAUAUUAGCUUGAAAAAUAGAAAAGAACAUCCAGUAGAUAAAUUUAAGAUUAAGGAUGAUUAAUUUAAGGUAGAAAUAAGUUAUGCAAGUUUUUUAAAAAUCGGAAUCAGCGUUAGUGACAAGCUCCCAAGGCUUUUCCCUCUUAAGUCUCCUUAUUUCUUCAAUAUUAUUUAAAAGUUCAAUAGCUGUUUCGUUUGGAAUACGAUGUAUCCUGUCUUCGUAUCUUUGCGAAAUUUUUUGAAUAUAUUACUCAAUUUCCUUAAUAUUUUAGACCGCAUCGAUUGCAAUGAUUUUAAACUAGUUUUGGGGACACAUCCCCAAAUUUGGCAACCAUAAGCCCAAGUGGGUCUUAUAAUUUGCUUGUAUAAUAAUAACUCAUUAUCUAAUGACAGGGAGGACUUUUUACUGAAACUCCUCAAUAAGAUACAAAAAUUGUUACAUUUAUAAGAGCCUUCACAGUAAGGAAGAUAAAACAAAAUCUUGUGUUAGUAUGUUUCAACGAUCCUGGGUGUUUCCCUGGACAUUUUGAAAGCACUUAGUGCGACACAAAAUAAAGGGGAAAAAAAUCUUCAGAGUGAGAUCACCAAAACUUGAGUUGAAAAUAUACAAACUUGUUACAUUUAUAAGAGCAUACACAGGAAGAAAGAGUAACCAAAAUAUUACGUUAAUAUGUUUCUACGAAUCUGAGCGUUCCCUCGGAAAUUUUAAGACCCACCUAGAGCGAUACACGCACACACCCAAAAAAAAAGAGAAAAAUAGGAAGUAACACACGAAGUAACUGAAGCUAUUGGUUGAUUUUUAUGUACUUGGAUUUCCCGUGUCAAAUCUACUAAAUCUUUGGGUUGUGGUGACCAAAAUUUUGUGUUGAAAAUCUGUAACCUCGUUAAAAUUAUUAUUCGCCAGCCUCCAGGAUAGCAUCGUUGGAAAUCCAAAACGCUAGCCACUCGCAAGUCGCGAGCACUGAAAAAGGGUAGGAAAACAAGAAAACAUAUUUUCGGCAGGACACUUUCUCCGUGAUUCAAUAUCUCAGAGAAGCCUACGGUUUGGAUCGGUUUAACACAAAAGCAACCAGGUGUAGGUGGACGUGACACAAUAAAAAAAAACACAAAGUAACACAGAGUGACAUCAAGCACGGACAUUUUUAUCUGUGUAUUUCCACUGUGUGUGUUCUUACCAAGUGUAGGUGAACGUGACACAAUAAAAGAAACACAAAGUAAUAACACAGAGUGACAUCAAGCACGGACAUUUUUAUUCGUGUAUUUCUACCGUUUUUCAAUCACCAAAUUUUUUGCUGCCCAAACGGCGUGUUCUUAGUCGUUCCACAAUCGGUUUUUUUGGGCCGUUCAAAUAAAUAAUUUAGUGGGGGCUGGACUUGCUUUAUGAGGUCUUACAAGGGAGAGGGGGUCAAGCACAGUCUUUCGUAAGCCUUACUCAUUUUUUAAAAAGAAGUCUGAUUUCCGAUAAAAUAUUUAUUUUUAAGUAUUCUCCAGGCUAUUUAAGGUUAUUUUCUGACUAAUGGGAGGGGGAUGGAGCCAAGCCAGAGAGAGGCCUUCAACAGAGGACCAUAAUGGAUAAUUUUAUGGAAAGAACUUUGAAAAUUUAAAUUUGAGUAAUGGAUCCUACCGAGAAAAUUUAAUGGUUUGCCGUCAUAAAAAUAAAGACAUGUCACAAAAAUUGCAGUUUUGAGAUAGCCAGUGCUGUGUAAGUAAUUUAGUCGCAACUUAGACUUACUUGGAAAGUUUUUUAUUGGUUACAUUAAGUAAAAGCUUACCGGCUAUCGCCAUUGCCAGAACUUCAGCAGAAAAAAUAAUUGAUACUUUACAUUUGAACUAUACCGUAGUAACUUCAGAAAUAAAGAGAAUAGGGACUAUUGCAGCUAUUGCAGCUUUUGCAAAUUUUUCAGUUCCGCUCAACCCACCUCGAGCUUGACGAAAUUGAAGCGUUUUUUUAUUUUAUUUUUCGCAGUGGCACAUAAUUAUAUUUUUCCUAGCUUGGUUGGCUAUUUUAAAUUUUUUUAAUACUUCUAUCAGUCUUCUAUCGUUGGAAUUAUGUAAAAUUUUCAAACUACUGUUAUUGAUAGUAUGGUUGGAAUCACCUACAUGUUUGUAUACAUUAGAACAACUUCUUUUAAGUGUUCUUAAAGAUAUUUUUGGAGUUAGUUAGAGUAAGCUGUAUCUUAGUUGUAAAGGGAGGAGGGAGGGCUUUUUGACCAUUUAUAAUGUUUGUAUGACUGUGCCUUUAUGAAUAAAAUUUAUACAUUUUA
Non-coding RNA from Bemisia tabaci, 3602 nucleotides. Lineage: Eukaryota; Metazoa; Arthropoda; Insecta; Hemiptera; Aleyrodidae. The record is from RefSeq and is a predicted model, not a curated record.